CUUUUCGAGCAGCGACUGCCAAGCUGUCAAGAUUUACAGAAAAACUCAUUGUGAAUAUCCGCGGACCGCUUCAAAUCAACAAUGACUUUCCGUGUCUUUCGGGAAUGUUCGAAGUUAACCUUCUGACAAGUUUUACAAAACAAUCAAGAAUCUCUGAAGAGAAACCCUGGGAACGGAGCGCGUGUGUAGCAGGCGCGUGAACCUGUUGUGGUCUCAUACCAUUUACGACCACGAGACCAGAAAUCUGCCCACCUCCGGGACACGGAGCGCUGCAGUGCUGCAACAGACUGGUGACUAGCUGCUAAUCUACUUCUGGACGUGCUGAGCAAUGAUACCACACUGAGAAAGAAGCGGGGAAUACAUCUGGUAGUGCUUAAAUAUAAGUAUAAAGGAGAGAUGAAGUGUGCUUGAACAGCAGAAAGCAGCAGGAUGAAGAGUAGUGUGCAGCUAGGGCUGUUGUGUCUCAGCCUGCUCAUCUCCAGUCUUCAUGGAGGAGGAGAAGAAGUCGAGCCAGAUUCGAGCAAGGAAAUCGGAACCAACUUUGAUGAGCCGGAUCUUCAUCAGUUUAAGAUGUACAGAGCACGAAGACAGACGGUCUCCACAGAGGAGGAAAGUACAGCAAAGACAGUAGCUCUUGUGCCAUCAAGUGUAUGUACACAUCUAAUAAAGUAAAAUUUGCACCAAUUUUUCCAGCUGUG
Long non-coding RNA from Carassius carassius (crucian carp), 698 nucleotides. RefSeq lists it as uncharacterized. The transcript has 3 exons. NCBI's taxonomy places the organism in Eukaryota, Metazoa, Chordata, Actinopteri, Cypriniformes, Cyprinidae. The record is from RefSeq and is a predicted model, not a curated record.